Molecule: unclassified non-coding RNA, 429 nt
Filed under: fungal sp.
Lineage: Eukaryota; Fungi
Description: partial internal transcribed spacer region
Rfam family: Eukaryotic small subunit ribosomal RNA (bases 1-46)
Source: RNAcentral
AAGUCGUAACAAGGUUUCCGUAGGUGAACCUGCGGAAGGAUCAUUAACACGUAUCCACGUAUCUACCUCUUGUGAACCUGUUAUGUGUGUAGUUAGUUGUACCAGGUAUAACUGAGGAAGCAGAUGACCAUGUCCCUUCUUUCAUGACCUUUCCACUUCGUGUGGCAGUAAUUGAUAUGAAGCGUUCUGCUUGCCUGUCCGCCCUUGCUUGAGUGCUAGUGUAUUGAGAUUGACCCAGGGAUUGUCCAACAAUUUCUGAGGCCAAUCCUAUUAGCCAUAGCUCCUUGGGACCGGGUAUCUGGUAGAGCUCGAAUCAUGGUGGUAUUUCACCUAUUAACCCUUCGUCUAUUUAUUUGUCUUAAGUGAGGUGUUAUACCUCCCAAAAAAAAUAACAACUAUACAACUCUUAGCAACGGAUAUCUCGGUUCU